CUACGGGGCGCACCAGUGGGGAAUAUUGCACAAUGGAGGAAACUCUGAUGCAGCAACGCCGCGUGGAGGAUGACACUUUUCGGAGCGUAAACUCCUUUUAUAUAGGAAGAAGAUGACGGUACUAUAUGAAUAAGCGCCGGCUAACUCCGUGCCAGCAGCCGCGGUAAUACGGAGGGCGCAAGCGUUACUCGGAAUCACUGGGCGUAAAGAGCGUGUAGGCGGAUUAAAAAGUCAGAAGUGAAAUCCUAUAGCUUAACUAUAGAACUGCUUCUGAAACUCUUAAUCUAGAAUAUGGGAGAGGUAGAUGGAAUUUCUGGUGUAGGGGUAAAAUCCGUGGAGAUCAGAAGGAAUACCGAUUGCGAAGGCGAUCUACUAGAACAUUAUUGACGCUGAGACGCGAAAGCGUGGGGAGCAGACAGGGUUAGAUACCCUUGUAGUC
This 439-nucleotide ribosomal RNA is filed under the name uncultured bacterium. Its description in RNAcentral is "partial 16S ribosomal RNA". It matches the Rfam family "Bacterial small subunit ribosomal RNA", at positions 339 to 795 of the family's 1533-position model. The record is from RNAcentral.